UACAGUUUAAUUAUAUUCCUUUCUUUUUUUCUCAAAGUUGCGGAGAAGAAAAAGAAUGCUGGAAAAUACCUACGGCUUGUGGAAGAAAGCAGCUGUCAUCUAUAGAAUGGAAGACCCAAUCUGGAGCAUCCCUUCGAAUCGCCCCAAUGAUUAUCUGGUAGUGUUAGACGCCAUGCAUGAAAUUAUGCGGGAAACCUGCGUUCGAUUCAAAGAGUGGAGCGGAGAACGGGACUACGUGUAUAUCAAGCGCGACUACACUCAAGGUGAUUUCUACAUGAAUAACGGAAGAAAGGGCGGCCGACAAGUAUUAUAUGUGCAUCAAAAGGUUUGGAAGAAAAAAACGUUUUUGCAUGAGCUGGGACAUGUCUUGAACUUGGAUGACGAACACCAACGCCCGGACAGAGACCACUACAUUGAAGUUUUAGAGGACAACGUUAAGGGGGAAUUCUUGCAAGAAAUGCGAAAAAAGAAGGAGGAGGAGGUGAAUCUCUUGGGAGAGCCGUUUGAUUUUGCCUCUAUAAUGAUGAAAAGCGAUCGUAUUCACUCCAAGGUAAAGCUGCUCAUAUUUUUUUCUGAUUU
RNAcentral lists this long non-coding RNA (579 nucleotides) under Bemisia tabaci. RNAcentral describes it as "lncRNA ENSSSA1UGG002850". The record is from RNAcentral. Lineage: Eukaryota; Metazoa; Arthropoda; Insecta; Hemiptera; Aleyrodidae.